ACCUGGGUGGCUCAGUUGGUUGAGCAUCUGACUCUUAGUUUCAGCUCAGGUCAUGGUCUCGCAGUUUGUGGGAUCGAGCCCUGCUUCAGGUU
Molecule: transfer RNA, 92 nt
Filed under: Felis catus (domestic cat)
Lineage: Eukaryota; Metazoa; Chordata; Mammalia; Carnivora; Felidae
Also listed under: 1 other name
Rfam family: tRNA
About the family: Transfer RNA (tRNA) molecules are approximately 80 nucleotides in length. Their secondary structure includes four short double-helical elements and three loops (D, anti-codon, and T loops). Further hydrogen bonds mediate the characteristic L-shaped molecular structure. tRNAs have two regions of fundamental functional importance: the anti-codon, which is responsible for specific mRNA codon recognition, and the 3' end, to which the tRNAs corresponding amino acid is attached (by aminoacyl-tRNA synthetases). tRNAs cope with the degeneracy of the genetic code in two manners: having more than one tRNA (with a specific anti-codon) for a particular amino acid; and 'wobble' base-pairing, i.e. permitting non-standard base-pairing at the 3rd anti-codon position.
Source: Rfam by way of RNAcentral